ACCGCCGAUCCCGAAAAGCGGAUAUUAAACAGAGUAGGGG
Molecule: non-coding RNA, 40 nt
Filed under: unclassified sequences
Description: DUF805b RNA
Rfam family: DUF805b RNA
About the family: Bacteroidetes, Chlorobi (1 example), Proteobacteria. Lineage (Flavobacteria)
Source: RNAcentral